GGGUUGUGAGGUUAAGCGACUAAGCGUACACGGUGGAUGCCCUGGCAGUCAGAGGCGAUGAAGGGCGUGCUAAUCUGCGAUAAGCGCCGGUAAGGUGAUAUGAACCGUUAUAACCGGCGAUACCCGAAUGGGGAAACCCAGUGUGACUCGUCACACUAUUAUUAACUGAAUCCAUAGGUUAAUGAGGCGAACCGGGGGAACUGAAACAUCUAAGUACCCCGAGGAAAAGAAAUCAACCGAGAUUCCCCCAGUAGCGGCGAGCGAACGGGGAGGAGCCCAGAGCCUGAAUCAGCAUGUGUGUUAGUGGAAGCGUCUGGAAAGGCGCGCGAUACAGGGUGACAGCCCCGUACACAAAAGCGCAUGUGCUGUGAGCUCGAUGAGUAGGGCGGGACACGUGGUAUCCUGUCUGAAUAUGGGGGGACCAUCCUCCAAGGCUAAAUACUCCUGACUGACCGAUAGUGAACCAGUACCGUGAGGGAAAGGCGAAAAGAACCCCGGCGAGGGGAGUGAAAAAGAACCUGAAACCGUGUACGUACAAGCAGUGGGAGCACAGGUUUCUGUGUGACUGCGUACCUUUUGUAUAAUGGGUCAGCGACUUAUAUUCUGUAGCAAGGUUAACCGAAUAGGGGAGCCGGAGGGAAACCGAGUCUUAAUUGGGCGUUAAGUUGCAGGGUAUAGACCCGAAACCCGGUGAUCUAGCCAUGGGCAGGUUGAAGGUUGGGUAACACUAACUGGAGGACCGAACCGACUAAUG
RNAcentral lists this ribosomal RNA (754 nucleotides) under Salmonella enterica subsp. enterica serovar Saintpaul. RNAcentral's name for it is "partial 23S ribosomal RNA". It matches the Rfam family "Bacterial large subunit ribosomal RNA", at positions 1 to 788 of the family's 2925-position model. Lineage: Bacteria; Pseudomonadati; Pseudomonadota; Gammaproteobacteria; Enterobacterales; Enterobacteriaceae. The record is from RNAcentral.